GCUGCAUCCAUGGCAUAUGGAGGUUCCCAGGCUAGGGGUCCAAUCGGAGCUGUAGCUGCCCUGCCAGGCUACGCCAGAGCCACAGCAACACGGGAUCCGAGCCGCGUCUGCAACCUACUACACCACAGCUCACAGUUAACCCACUGAGCAAGGCCAGAGAUCGAACCUGCAACCUCAUUGUUCCUAGUCGGAUUCAUUAGCCACUGCGCCACAAGGGAACUCCCUGCUCUUUUAUAAUCCUGCUCCCACCCCUCUCUGCUCUUCUUCCCCAUCCCUAGGCAACCACUUACCUGUUUUUAUCCCUAUAGAGUAGCUGCAUCUUCUAGAAUUUAGCGUAAAUCAGUCAAACAGUAUGAACUCUUCCGUUUGUCUUGUUUAGCAUUAUUUUGAAGUUCAUUUAUGUUAUUGCAUGUAUCAGAAGUUCAUUUCUUUGUAUUGCUGGGUAGUAAGUCCAUUACAUAAAGGAAUUUAUAUUGUUUAUCCAGUCACUUGAUAAUGAACAUUUGGAUUGUUUCUGGUUCUGGCUAUUACCAGUCAAUUUACUGUGAACCCUCACCUACGAGUCUUUGUAUGGACAUAUACUUUCUUUUUCUUUUGAUAGCACAUUGGUGUGGAAUGGCUGGGUCAGAUGGUUAGGUGUAUGUUUAACUUUUUAAGAAACUGACAAACUACUUUUCUAAGUUGUUGAACCUUUUCACAUUCCAGCCAGCAGUAUGUGAGAGUUCCCAUUCCUCUGUGUCAUUGGAAAUGCUUGGUAUGGUUGGUGUGUGGAGGUAUUUCAUUAUGGUUUUAUUAUUAUUAUUAUUGUUGUCUUUUUGGCAUUUCUUGGGCCGCUCCCACGGCGUAUGGAGGUUCCCAGGCUAGGGGUCCAAUCGGAGCUGUAGCCACCGGCCUAUGCCAGAGCCCCAGCAAUGCAGGAUCCGGGCUGAGUCUGCAACCUACACCACAGCUCAUGGCAACGCCGGAUCCUUAACCCACUGAGCAAGGCCAGGGAUCGAACCUGCAACCUCAUGGUUCCCAGUCAGAUUCGUUAUGGUUGGAACUCCUCAUUAUGGUUUUAUCUUGCAUUUCCCUAAGGACUGAUUGUGUUGAGCAUCUUUUCAUGUGCUUAUUUGCCGUCUGUAUAUCUUGUUGGGUAAAGUGUGUGCUCAAGAUAGACUGUAUUUUGAGCCAUAAGACAAAAGUCUCAAUACAUUUAAAAGGAUGCAAAUCAUCCAAAGUAGGUGUGAACUGAAGUUUGGCACUUGCCAUCAGCCUCUACAGGGAGUAAGACAUGAGCCACUGCUGCUGCCGACCCACAGCACCCCCUGAACAAAGCUCAGGAUGGAGACCAGGAGUGAGGCCCUCUGUGCUCUGGGAAAACUGGAAGAACAGGUCUUCAGAUAAGAAUUUUUAGAAGAUUUCCGGAGCCCAAUUCUUAAAUCUCCUCAUAUCUAGAAAAACACUAAAAUCCCUUAACGAUGACCGAUGUGUGUGACUAGUAGCAAACUUCUGUAAGAUGUGUGCAGGCCGCAUGCUCCUGCCCCUUCACCCUUAAGACUUCUAUCUUGAUAUUUCUCCUUUCCUUUUUGGGGCAGUAUUUCAGAGCUAUCUGGGGCAGUAGUUAGCGGACAAAGCAAAAGAUACCUUCUGUGAGAACAGCCACUCCCAAGGGUGGGCCACUGAGCCCUGAGAGAACUCAGGAAAGAGACCAAGCCUGGCCCACAUCAGAGGGCCUAUCAAAGGAGUGAUUCCAGGAAGCCCAGACCCUUACAUCUUCCCAUGGAAAUUGGUUUUCUAUAAAUCUUUUUCUGUAAAUCUGGUUAUCAGUAAACCUUUUGUUCCUACUACCUUCUCUUUGUCACAAAAACUCAUUUAUCCUAGCUGCCCACCCCCACUUCUUGGAGGGGUUUCUCGGGGCUACCUGAGAUGCUCUCUACCGGGCUUAAGUCCAAAUUUCACCUCAAAUAAAACUUAACUGUCAACUUGCAGGUUGUAUUAUUAUUAUUAUUAUUAUUGUCGACAUAGGUUUUCAGACUAUAAUGGAGUUAAAUUAGAAGCCAGUAACAAAAUAUUUGAAAAAUCCCCAGCUAUUUGGAUCCUGUCCUUGUUGCCGUUAAAUCUGAUUCUUGUAGCUUUAUAGAAGAUGUUCUUUUUCUCUGGAAGCUCUUAGAAUUUUCUUUCUCUUUGAUGUGCUUAAAUUUCCCAAUACUGUAUCUGAGUUCUUACUCUCUCUUAUUUGGUACUCUAUUCUUUAGUCUGAGGUCUUUCAUCUUUCUUUAAUUCAGGGCUAUUUAUUUUUAUUAUUUCCUUAAAUAUUUUCCCCUCCCUUGAAUUUUUUCUUCCUUGGAUUCCUGUUUUCAUUAUGUCUGCAUGUCUGCUUUUAUCCUUCAUGCAUUUAGCUUUUUCUUUUUUUAAUUUAAUUUUUAUUUUAUAUUGGAGUUUAGUUGGUUUACACUGCUAUGUUAGUUUCAGGUGUACAGCAAAGUAAUUCAAUCAUACAUUUACAUAUAUCCAUUCUUUUUCGGAUUUUUUUCCCGUAUAGCUCAUUAUAUCACUUUGAGUUCCCUGUGCUAUACAGUUGGUCCCUGUUGAUUAUUUAUUUUGUGUAUAGUAGUGUGUAUAUGUUAAUCCCAAACUCCUCAUUUAGCCUCCCCAGACAUCUCUCCCCUUUGGUAACUCUUAAGUUAGUUUUCAAAGUAUGUGAGUCUGUUUCUCUUUUGUAAAUAAGUUCAUUUGUACCUUUUUUUUUUUUUUUUAGAUUUAACUGCUUAUUUCUAUAUUUAUCUCUCUAUCCCUUUUUUCCCUCCCUUCUGGGAGAUUUCCCUAGUCUGUUCUUUCAGUUUUGCAAUUUAUUCUUUAGUUAUAGUCUGUUUGCUAUUUAUCCCAUCCACUAUUCUAUCUUUAAGUGCUGCUGUUGUGGUUAUUGCUGUUUUAAAUAUACUGAAUCUUUCCAUUUGGCUCUCUUUUUGACUUUUUUUCUUGCUUCAUAUUACCAGUAUCUUUUUGACAACAGUGGUUGUGCUUUUUAAAAAUUCUUUAUUUGUUCUAGUAUGUCUGCUUGAUUCAAUCUAUGUUGUGCAGUUUGUGGUUUUCCUUUUAUAGUGAUUCUGACCUCAGGUUUCAGGCUGUGAGUGGAUGGUCCCCUAGAGUUAUUGGGUACCAGAUGAGAUACUACAGCUCACGCCCUGUUAGAUGUAAUUAGCCAUUCCUUAUGCGGGCUGGCGAAGAGGCUGAGAGGAGUGGGUCUCAGGGCAGCUGGUCAGCUGGUGGCUUCUGACUCCCAGGGGGGACAGGGUGGGCAGUAGUCCAAAAGAAAUCUAGGAGAGGCAGAACAGAAACAAACAGCAUCUCUCUCACCUGUUAUUCCACCUCUGCAUGCCCCUCCACCCAGAGCUGAUAAUGGCCUUUAGUCUCUCCAGAGAUUAUUCACAGUUUUUAAGAUUAAUGUAUCCUCUCUUUUGCAGUCUCCCCAGAGCUGAUUCCCCUUGCCCUGUCUCCACUAAACAUCUUAUCGUACUUUGUGGCCUAGCAGAGGGGAAUAGGUUACUGAGAGCUUUUGAGUUUUGCUGGAAGAAAACUAAUCUUGCAGCAGAGCACAAUAAAAAGAGGAAGGAAACAGUUACUAGCCUAAGUAAGCAAUAACAAAGAUCUGAAUUAAUAGUUUGUAUGUUGAAGAAGAUUUUUUUUCCCUUAUAAAUGAUUUACUUGUUAGUUGAGCCCAAACUUGAAGAAGCUAUUGUUUUAUUUUGCUCCCCCCACCCAACAUGUUUGUUCUUAGUUCUUUUUUUUGGGAGUGAAUUGCAAACUAAGCACUGGGAGAAAUUCAAGAUGUUAAAAGUGAAAAAGGAAGCUAAAUGAGGCCAGAUUGGAGAGCAAAUUGUUAUUAUUUAAAACUUAUGGACCACCCUGACUAUGACAAGUUCUAUUUAAAAAAGUACAGAAACAUGAUUCCUUCCAUUGAACAGCUAGCCUUUUUCGGGAAAUAUAUACCACAUUUCUUUGUGUGUUUUACUCCACAUACUGCCAAUAUUUAAACUUGUUUAAUUUGAGGAAUUUCCUUUUAGUUUUCUUUCCCUUAAUUUUUUUUUUUUUUUGAGGGCGGGUUCCCUUUCUCUUUUUAUAAAAAUAAAGAAUAUGAAUAGAUGUUAUGUUCACUUUAUUGGCUGAAAGUUGGUGUCUAGGACACUAUCUUUACCCUUCAUAGAGCAAGCUAGAUGGAGCAUUUGUUACCCCCUUGCAACUAUUCAUUGCCUUUGCUUCUCUGCUUGACAGUAACUGGCUCUAUUUUUAUUUUAAACUAAAAUCAAAUAAAUCAAUUUGAACUGUACCAUGCAAGAUUAAUGUUAACUAUAAACAUAUGAAAACAUGCUCAAUCUAAGUAAGACAAACAACUUAUUUUCUUUUUUUUUUUUUUUUUGCCUAUCAAACUGCUAACAAUUAAAUGUAAAGAGGGUUUUGGCAUUAAGAAUUCUCAUAAAAUGCUGAUGGGAAGGAUACUCAUAGAUACAGCUGUAGCUGCCUCUUUGUGGCUGCCACCACAUCCCAUAUACAUAGGUUCUCAAACUUCAGCUCAGAAUAACUUAGAGAGCUUGUUAAAACAUGGAUUGCUUGGCCCCCCUCCUAGAUUUCUGAUUCAGUAAGCCUGGGGUGAUGCCUGAGAAUUUGCUUGGCUAGCAAGUUCCCAGGCCAUGGUGACGCUGGUGGCCCAGGACCAACUUCGAGAACCAUUGGUUCUCAACCCUGGCUGUACCUGAGGAUCUUAAAAAGAAUACCAUCGCCAAAAACUGCCAGUGCUUAGAUCUGCUCCCAGUGCUUCUAGUUUAAUGGUUUGAAAGGGGCCGGGAUAUGUGUAUUUUAUAAACGCUCUUUUUUAAAGGUGAGUUUAAGGGGCUCUUUGGGUUGGACUGAGAAGACCGCUGUCUUCUCAUUCUCCAUUUGUCCUCCAAAGGAACUCAUUGAGUUGC
This 4946-nucleotide long non-coding RNA is filed under the name Sus scrofa (pig). Its description in RNAcentral is "lncRNA (ENSSSCG00000060517.1)". The record is from RNAcentral. Lineage: Eukaryota; Metazoa; Chordata; Mammalia; Artiodactyla; Suidae.